Molecule: long non-coding RNA, 205 nt
Organism: Dromaius novaehollandiae (emu)
Lineage: Eukaryota; Metazoa; Chordata; Aves; Casuariiformes; Dromaiidae
Exons: 2
Source: RefSeq, a predicted model, not a curated record
CAGCGUUGGCCCUGCGGCCGUUCCCCCGGCUUGCCGCUGCCGUGCGUGCCGCGGCCGCCGGCAGUUCAAAUGAAAGACGGAGGUAGCUGUGGAGGGAAGACUUCUUAAAGGAGAAAAGGAUGUUGAAACACAAAGAUUAUGCUUUUGAAGGCGACCCUCAAUUUUGUUCUCCUGGCUUCUGAUUAGAACGUGUUUUUUCUAAACA